GAUGAACGCUGGCGGCGUGCCUAAUACAUGCAAGUCGAGCGAACGGACGAGAAGCUUGCUUCUCUGAUGUUAGCGGCGGACGGGUGAGUAACACGUGGAUAACCUACCUAUAAGACUGGGAUAACUUCGGGAAACCGGAGCUCAUACCGGAUAAUAUUUUGAACCGCAUGAUCCAAAAGUGAAAGACGUUCUUGCUGUCACUUAUAGAUGGAUCCGCGCUGCAUUAGCUAGUUGGUAAGGUAACGGCUUACCAAGGCAACGAUGCAUAGCCGACCUGAGAGGGUGAUCGGCCACACUGGAACUGAGACACGGUCCAGACUCCUACGGGAGGCAGCAGUAGGGAAUCUUCCGCAAUGGGCGAAAGCCUGACGGAGCAACGCCGCGUGAGUGAUGAAGGUCUUCGGAUCGUAAAACUCUGUUAUUAGGGAAGAACAUAUGUGUAAGUAACUGUGCACAUCUUGACGGUACCUAAUCAGAAAGCCACGGCUAACUACGUG
Molecule: ribosomal RNA, 497 nt
Filed under: uncultured bacterium
Lineage: Bacteria
Description: partial 16S ribosomal RNA
Rfam family: Bacterial small subunit ribosomal RNA
Source: RNAcentral